CCUACGUGAGGCAGCAGUGGGGAAUAUUGCACAAUGGGGGAAACCCUGAUGCAGCGACGCCGCGUGAGUGAAGAAGUAUUUCGGUACGUAAAGCUCUAUCAGCAGGGAAGAAAAUGACGGUAACUGACUAAGUAGCACCGGCUAAAUACGUGCCAGCAGCCGAGGUAAUACGUAGGGGGCAAGCGUUAUCCGGAUUUACUGGGGGUAAAGGGAGCGUAGACGGCAGCGCAAGUCUGGAGUGAAAUCCCAUGGCUUAACCAUGGAACUGCUUUGGAAACUGUGCAUCUAGAGUGAAGGAGAGGUAAGCGGAAUUCCUAGUGUAGCGGGGAAAUGCGUAGAUAUUAGGAGGAACACCAGUGGCGAAGGCGGCUUACUGGACUGUAACUGACGUGGAGGCUCGAAAGCGUGGGGAGCAAACAGGAUUAGAUACCCUGGUAGUC
This 440-nucleotide ribosomal RNA is filed under the name uncultured bacterium. Its description in RNAcentral is "partial 16S ribosomal RNA". It matches the Rfam family "Bacterial small subunit ribosomal RNA", at positions 338 to 795 of the family's 1533-position model. The record is from RNAcentral.